This 502-nucleotide ribosomal RNA is filed under the name Thermoanaerobacterium thermosaccharolyticum. RNAcentral describes it as "bacterial SSU rRNA". It matches the Rfam family "Bacterial small subunit ribosomal RNA", at positions 126 to 641 of the family's 1533-position model. The record is from RNAcentral. Lineage: Bacteria; Bacillati; Bacillota; Clostridia; Thermoanaerobacterales; Thermoanaerobacteraceae.
CUACCCUGUAGACUGGGAUAACACCUCGAAAGGGGUGCUAAUACCGGAUAAUGUCGAGAAGCGGCAUCGCUUUUCGAAGAAAGGAGGGAAUCCGCUAUAGGAGGAGUCCGCGUCCCAUUAGCUAGUUGGUGAGGGUAACGGCCCACCAAGGCGACGAUGGGUAGCCGGCCUGAGAGGGUGAACGGCCACACUGGAACUGAGACACGGUCCAGACUCCUACGGGAGGCAGCAGUGGGGAAUAUUGUGCAAUGGGGGAAACCCUGACACAGCGACCCCGCGUGAGUGAAGAAGGCCUUCGGGUCGUAAAGCUCAAUAGUAUGGGAAGAAAGAAAUGACGGUACCAUACGAAAGCCCCGGCUAACUACGUGCCAGCAGCCGCGGUAAUACGUAGGGGGCGAGCGUUGUCCGGAAUUACUGGGCGUAAAGAGCACGUAGGCGGCUAUAAAAGUCAGAUGUGAAAAACCUGGGCUCAACCGAGGGUAUGCAUCUGAAACUAUAUAGC